GACGAACCGUGCGAACGUUGUUCGGAAUCACUGGGCAUAAAGGGCGCGUAGGCGGCUUUUCAAGUCAGGGGUGAAAUCCGGCAGCUUAACUGUCGAAGUGCCCUUGAUACUGAGGAGCUCGAGGGAGGUAGGGUGUGUGGAACUUCCGGUGGAGCGGUGAAAUGCGUUGAUAUCGGAAGGAACGCCGGUGGCGAAAGCGACGCACUGG
Molecule: ribosomal RNA, 208 nt
Filed under: uncultured bacterium
Lineage: Bacteria
Description: partial 16S ribosomal RNA
Rfam family: Bacterial small subunit ribosomal RNA
Source: RNAcentral